ACGCGCUGUGUGCCCUGCUGGCACUGGGACCUGGGCAAUCCCAGUGUGACCCACCACCCUGGCCUUUCAGGCAUCCACAGCACAGAACGUGGCUGACCUUGGGGUGACACUGCUUUGGUUACCUGUCCCUGCUUUCUGACUUACCAGCUGACGGUGUGACCUUGAGCAAGAGACAGCCUCUCUGAGCCCAUUUUCUGUCUGCAAAAAGGAGGACUAUUUGCUCCCUUGCAGAGUUGCUAAGAGCCUGAGGAAGGAUAUUGCCUGUGAUGUACCUAGUACGGAGCCUGGGGCAUGAUGCACUGGCCAUUGAGUCUUUCCUGAUCCUCUGGAAAUGAACAUGGGAGGAGCUUCCUGGGAAAGCAUGGGCAAGACGGGAGAGGAGGAUGGUGCUUAGCAGGCCUCUCAGCUGCUGGACACAAACAGCAGCGGAUGGUCCCGAGUCCUGCACAUGCACGAUCAUCUCAAAUCAUUCUUCACCACGCCCCUGGGAAGGCGGCCUCACCCUGCACACAAGGAAACCCCUGAAUCAGGAACGGGUGACUUGGCUCUGACUUGCAAGGGGCCGAACUGGGAUUUGAACCCGGGUCAGCCUGAUUCUAGGCAAAACUGCCUCCCUGGAGAAGUACCUUCCAGCCCAUGUCAGGUUAACACUGACCGAGAGCUUUGUGGAUCAAGGGGGCCAAAGUUAGUUUCUCCAAAUGGACUGGAAUUGGAGCAGAUCUGGGAGGGGGGAUAUUUACGGGUUCCCGUGGCCAUUUUCGGGAGAAGGCAGACACAGUGAUCGUAGAGUUCAUUCGACUGGACUCGCUCAGGAUGGAGAGAUAAAAGAGAGAGAGGAAGGAGCAAGAGAAAGAGGAUGGAUGGAGGGUCAUUCCACGGGGAGGGCCACUCUGCCCACUAGCUGCUGAUCAGCUUUGUGUGCAGUUGGUGCCCAUGAACCUCUGCAGGUGGCAGGCAGCCUCAGUUCCACAUGCCCCUCUCACUCUCACUGCCCUGUAAAGAUACUGAUUUUCAUUCUGCCCAGUGCAGAAACCCUCCAGGUGUGAGACGUAGAGGAAAGAGCACCAGGCCGGGGUCACAAAAACCAGGUACUGGCCCUGUCUUAGACCUUGA
Molecule: long non-coding RNA, 1113 nt
Filed under: Homo sapiens (human)
Lineage: Eukaryota; Metazoa; Chordata; Mammalia; Primates; Hominidae
Description: HSALNT0003027
Source: RNAcentral